AGUUUUUUGUUUCGGAAACAUUGGACUUUGAAAGUCCCCAACAGAGGUUCGACCCCCCUAAAAACUU
RNAcentral lists this transfer RNA (67 nucleotides) under Lepidonotopodium sp. YZ-2018. RNAcentral's name for it is "tRNA-Ser". Lineage: Eukaryota; Metazoa; Annelida; Polychaeta; Phyllodocida; Polynoidae. The record is from RNAcentral.